Molecule: unclassified non-coding RNA, 1377 nt
Filed under: Hevea brasiliensis (rubber tree)
Lineage: Eukaryota; Viridiplantae; Streptophyta; Magnoliopsida; Malpighiales; Euphorbiaceae
Source: RNAcentral
GCUGCCACUUCCACCUAACUAUAAAUAAAAUCUUUUAUUGCAUUUCCACAGAUCCAUCUUAGCACACUCACAUCCACCAUAUUCACAUUCCUUUACCACCCAACUUUCAAUGCAAAGCGUCAUAAAUAGUAAAAUUGUAAAAUCAGUUUUUAUGAUAAUAAGACACCCACUGCACUAAUUAUCUAUUAUCAAUCAGUUUAAAAAAUUAUAGGAAGUCACUGAGCAGUUUAAUGGAGCAUGGCAUUAGGAUGCUAAACCUUCAACACACCAUCACUGUUGAAGUAUUGAGAUUUUUCUAGAAGAAAUGAAGAUCAUUUUUUUUUACAUUUUGUAAUCCUUAAAUUAUGUUGUCAACCUUGGUAGGUGCAAGUGUAUGUCUUUCCUUGAUUUAAGGAGAUUAAGUAGAAACUUGUUGUAGUAGCUAUGAACCAUGAUUUUUGUACUACUUUUGCUGCAAUACAAGUAGCCUAAUAUAAUGAAAUGUGUGUGAGUGAAUUCUGCAAUUUUAGUCUUGUGUUGUGUGAGGUAGAGAACCUCUAUUUUCUUUGUGAGUUUGCUGUGGGAAAAUCCAACAAACUGUCUAAAAUUUGAUGAUCCUGAAUGAAAGCAGAUUCAGAGAUAUCUACAAUUGAUGGAAUAACCCUCUUAAGCCUACCUACAAGUAACUUGGCAACAAUUUUGUGGAGCCCAUGAAUGAGACUUAUGGGUCUUAAAUCUGUUACUUUAGAAGGAUUAUUGACCUUUGACAUAAGAACAAUAAUUGAAGAUUUGAUUCUAGAGGGUAAUUUGCCAGUUUGAUAGAAGCUGAAAACUAGUUGAAUGAUGAAAGGAGCCAUUAACCAAAAGAUUAUCAUAAAUAUUCGACUCAGUAAUAGAUUUUUUUUUUUUUGGUUGACUCUUAGAUUUCUUUGACAUGUUUCCUCCUCCAUUUAUCUUCGAUGAGCAAUCUAUGAGGUCAAAUAAUAUUUUGCUUUUCCUUCUCUAUUGCAUGCCUUUAUCUUCAGUGUUUUCCUUGUUGUAUCUUCCAAAUACAUCUUUUAGGUCUUAUGUUUUUAAUUUUUUCUUCUAAAUUAAGUCCUUAUAGUUUUAUUAACCCUUGAAUUUUUAUUAUUUUUUUCAUACUAAGCUUUCAACAAUUUAUUAUUUUAAACAUUAUAUACAUUUUCUAGCUGAUGUAAUAAAAAAAAUAUGUUAAAUUGACUUACCAACGUUAUAAAAUAAAAUUUUUCUCUAUCCUCCCUCUCUUUAGGUCCCAAAUGUUUUUCCUUUCUCCCUUUAAAUCACAUUCACUCUUUUUCUUUGCAAAUUUUACCUUCUCUCUCUUAACAAACCAUUGUCUCUUUCUAGUAAACCACACUUUCAUAUGAAACACAUUCU